GUUUUAAUAGUUUAAAAAAAACAUUGGUCUUGUAAACCAAAAUUAAUUUAUAUUUUAAAAUA
This 62-nucleotide transfer RNA is filed under the name Beraea pullata. RNAcentral's name for it is "tRNA-Thr". The record is from RNAcentral. Lineage: Eukaryota; Metazoa; Arthropoda; Insecta; Trichoptera; Beraeidae.